RNAcentral lists this ribosomal RNA (496 nucleotides) under uncultured bacterium. Its description in RNAcentral is "partial 16S ribosomal RNA". It matches the Rfam family "Bacterial small subunit ribosomal RNA", at positions 28 to 506 of the family's 1533-position model. The record is from RNAcentral.
GAUGAACGCUGGCGGCGUGCCUAAUACAUGCAAGUCGAGCGAACAGACGAGGAUCUUGCUCCUCUGACGUUAGCGGCGGACGGGUGAGUAACACGUGGAUAACCUACCUAUAAGACUGGGAUAACUUCGGGAAACCGGAGCUAAUACCGGAUAAUAUAUUGAACCGCAUGGUUCAAUAGUGAAAGACGGUUUUGCUGUCACUUAUAGAUGGAUCCGCGCCGCAUUAGCUAGUUGGUAAGGUAACGGCUUACCAAGGCAACGAUGCGUAGCCGACCUGAGAGGGUGAUCGGCCACACUGGAACUGAGACACGGUCCAGACUCCUACGGGAGGCAGCAGUAGGGAAUCUUCCGCAAUGGGCGAAAGCCUGACGGAGCAACGCCGCGUGAGUGAUGAAGGUCUUCGGAUCGUAAAACUCUGUUAUUAGGGAAGAACAAAUGUGUAAGUAACUAUGCACGUCUUGACGGUACCUAAUCAGAAAGCCACGGCUAACUACGU